Molecule: ribosomal RNA, 253 nt
Filed under: uncultured bacterium
Lineage: Bacteria
Description: partial 16S ribosomal RNA
Rfam family: Bacterial small subunit ribosomal RNA
Source: RNAcentral
UACGAAGGGGGCUAGCGUUGCUCGGAAUCACUGGGCGUAAAGGGUGCGUAGGCGGGUCUUUAAGUCAGGGGUGAAAUCCUGGAGCUCAACUCCAGAACUGCCUUUGAUACUGGGGAUCUCGAGUCCGGAAGAGGUGAGUGGAACUCCGAGUGUAGAGGUGAAAUUCGUAGAUAUUCGGAAGAACACCAGUGGCGAAGGCGGCUCACUGGUCCGGUACUGACGCUGAGGUGCGAAAGCGUGGGGAGCGAACAGG